Molecule: non-coding RNA, 105 nt
Organism: Cordylochernes scorpioides
Lineage: Eukaryota; Metazoa; Arthropoda; Arachnida; Pseudoscorpiones; Chernetidae
Source: the annotation of a GenBank genome assembly
UAGUCUACGGUACGUUGAAAACACCAGUUCUCGUUCGAUACUGAAGUUAAGCAACGUCGGGCCUGAUCAGUACUUGGGAGGGAGACUACUUAGGUGCUGUAGGCC